CUUCCCUGUGCAACAGCUAAGGUCUGUAGGCCCCCUCGGAAUGGCAAUGAAAAGACUGCAAUGAGAGUGGGCCAGGCCAGUGAUGGGACGAGCUAUACAUUUCCGAAGACAGAGAAGAGGAAAAAGGAGGUAGAGUCUGGUAUGAGGGCACCAGGGAACAUUUCCUUACUUCACAAUUUGGUGAACUGAGUAGAACUGCCUGACAUCACACAGAGGGUAAACUUCUGCCUAGGGCCAUGGAAAAAGGCAAGAAGGUCCCGUGACCAAGAAAUGACCAGCUCCACAGAGGAAAUGCAGGGCCACUCUCCGACUGGACCCCACUGUGCACAAGUUGAAAUAUGAGAUGCCGAGUAAUAAAACUUGAAGUACAGUGGAGCAGCUCUGAGAGAACAAGUGGCACAUUGCCUUGAAAUAAUACUCUCAACGCCAUUUGCUGAGUCUUCUAUGCUCUUGGCCCUUUGCACAAUCUCACUUAAUCUUCACUGCACCCUGUAAGGUAAAUAUUAUUAUCUUCAUUUUACAGAUGAGGAAAUUGAAGCUUACAUAAAUUGUCUGAGGUCACACAGUUAAUAAGUGGUUGAAUGUGGAUUUAAUUCGAGGUCUGCUUUAUUUCAAAGUGAUUCAGUGAGUGAGACAGAGAGAAACAAAGAGAAGACAGUGGUUUUUAAAGAAAGAAUGAAUCUCAAUUUUCUGAAACCCUAUAGCAAUUCCUGCCUUUCUUGUGGCUCUUACCAUAUUCUGCUGUUAUUUCUGGAUUUCUUAUAUAACCUUUACUGAAUUAUAAGCUAUUCUAUUUGAGAGAAGAGACCACACACAAACCAUUUCUGUAUUCCCCCAGGACCUUGUUCAGUGCCUGGAACAAAGUAGGUAUUCAAGAUACCUUUCACUUAUUCCUCAUAUAUUUGCUGGGUGUGGUUAAGCCCAGUAAAGAAGACAAGUCAUGCCUUCCAGGAGCUUCUAGCUCAGGGGAGAAAGUGAUUGAAGACCCAGUGUUCUAAACUGGGUGUGGCACCACAGUGAUGGGAAGUAGGGGAAGCCAAGGGGAAGCUGACUGACUGGUGGGCUCAACCAAGGUUUCCCGAGGAAGAGGUCAUCCAAAACCAUUCUUGAAGCUUCAGUAAGAGCCAAGCAAAGAGGGUGGGGAAAGCCUCACAAAGCGAGAAGGAUCAGGAAUGCACAAAGGCCCUGAAAUUAGAGAUAAGCACAAAGCCUGUUUCCAAGGAUUACAAAUCACCUGGAGAUUACUGGAGGACAAGAGAAAGGGGAGAAACAGCAAGACAGAAGGUGGCAAGGUAUCCGCUGUGAAGUCUAGAAGGACUGUGUACACCAUGCCUGCUCAAUGUGAAGAUGACGAGGAUGAAAACCUUUAUGAUGAUCUACUCCUAUUUAUGUGGACUUGCUCUGGAUUAGGGAUGAGAAGACCUGACUCUACUGUUUUCUUGAUAAGUGACCUUGAACCAGACACAUGUGCUCAAGUUCCAUAUCUGUAAAAUGAAGAUACCUGGCCUUCCUACUUCACAAGGUUCUUUUGAAGAUCAAAUGUAAUACUGCAUAAUAAAGUGACUCAUAAAUUCUUUUUUUUUUUUUUUUUGAGAUGAAUUCUCACUCUGUUGCCCAGGCUGUCAUGACCUGGUGCAAUUUCAACUCACUGCAACCUCCGCCUCCAGGGUUCAAGAGAUUCUCCUACCUCAGCCCCACCGAGUAGCUGGGAUUACAGGCAUGCACCACCACUCCCGGCUUUUUUAUUUUAUUUUUAUUUUUUGUAUUUUUUGUAUUUUUAGUAGAGAUGGGGUUUUGCCAUUUUGGUGAGGUUGGUCCUGAACUCCUGACCUCAAGUGACCUGCCCGUCUUGCCUCCCAAAGUGCUGGGAUUACAGGAGUGAGCCUCUGCACCUGGCCUGACCCAUAAAUUCUAAAGUACUAAGUGAUGUCCUCAUAUAUAGCACAGUCCCUCCAGCCCCUGCAAUUCAAAGAUACAUCUCACUGUACUUAGGAGAGUUAGAGUAGAGGCAUGACCUAACUUGUUAGCUGUUUAUCUCCUAUAGAAAGUGGUCAACAGAUCUUUGUUGGUAAAAUGAAUGAAUAUUCAUUUCUUAUCUUUCAAUGAGAAUGUGAUAACUUUGGUUAUUGAUGUAUACUUCCGUGCAAAUUUGCUCAUGCAAUUUCAACCACAUCCCCCAGAACAACUUUCUACCAUGCUAAUUGCUCCGAACAUUUAAAUACCAGCAUAGGAAUGGAAGCUACUGACUGUUAACAUUUCUCACAUUUAGUUGCUGAAUGCCUCUCACAUUUACUUACUGAAUGUGUGCUUUAGACCAUCUUAAAAAUAUAAUAGUAUGUCUGAUAAAGAGGCCCAUCAGUCCUCAAAAUGUCUUCAUCUUUUAGUGUUGAAACAAUAAUGAUGAUUUGCUUCAUUUGUGCUCUACACACCAAUGAGAUGAGCUAACUGCAUAUCUACUAUGAAAUAAUGUCUAUUAUUACAUGGAUAACUACCCAUUAACUCCAUUGGAAACACUGGUAAUUACACAGUAUGUUACGUUAAUGCACCUGUGUUAGCUUCUGAUUGCCAUAUUAUUAAUUCAAGUGACCUCUUGAAUUAAUUCAAGUUUCCCAUCAUCAUUUUCUUAUUCUGGAACUCUCUAACACUUUAGAGACUGUUGGCUAAACAAUAAAAGUAUACAGUGAAAACUAUUUUCAAAAAAAAGAGGAUCUGAUGUGUGAUCCCAUUGAUGUUUGUUGUUGUUUUUCACUUCUUUGCUUGACAUAUAUAAACAACUUUAGAGCUAUAUUCUGUUACCUUCUGUGCAAAAUUAGAACAAUUUUCACUUUGUGAAGAGUUGCAGAAAGAUUUGACCUUUAAAAACUCUGAAACACGUCUGGUUCACAAACAGAAUCACAUCUUAAAAGCCCUAAGUUUGCUCUAAAAGUGUCAAUCAAGUUUUCAGCACACUAACACACGUAAUAAUGAAAGGCUUGUAUUUGCUCCUAAAACCCAAGUUGCCUCCCAGUCACUCUGCAUCUGGUUACACCAAACUUAACUUUUCUACAGUCCAUCUAGUCCUGACCUUCCCCUCUUCUUACGAGCCCCCAUUUAACCAAAGCAACUCCAGCCCAGGAGAUGAAAACCCCAUCAGCAUUUUCAUAGUUAAUGACAGGGCUACAAAACAGAAAAUAACAGCGGGAAUCUGAAGCCAGUGCUUUUAUUGGACUAACUAACGAUAUAAAUAAAAUGGUCCCUGACUGAGCUUUGGAGAAUCACUGUCUCUUUAUCAGGCCAUAGAAAACAGAUCCAGGAGGGCAAUAAAUACAGCACAUAACAGAGUGGAAUUAAAUGAUUAGGCCUGAAUUAACACCCUGUUUCUGAGCCUCACUUAGUGUUCCAUGGCCCCAAUGAAACACUGCAAUUCACAAAUGCUCAAGGCCCAUUUAAUUUUUAUUUCAAGCUAGUUCAGAAGAAGGGAUUACCUAUAACUCCCCCCUAUUCCAUUGUGUAACUCUCGAAGUAACAACACUGAUCCUGUCUAGAUAGCUGUUAGGAAAAUAGGCUGUGCUAUAGGAAACACAGAGUCUAUUCAGAAUCCUGCCUCUACAAAAAUCACAUUAAUUCAAAGGGACCAAAUCCCUCUCUGUGAAAGUGACAAGGCUGUCCUUGAUGGGAAAAUAAUGAAUUAUUAGUUAAAUAAACUUGAUUAUUUUCCAUGACAUUAACAACAAACCUAUGCAACUGUCAGCCCAAGAUUUUUACUUUUUGAACUGUGGCUUUAGCAUGCCAAAGAUCCUAAUCAAGUCUUAACUGCAAAAUGGAAUUGAAUCUCACCUUGGAGGGUAAUCUAUGGAGGCCCAUCCCCCAUUACACCAUAUGUCACAGGAUAAGGUGGAUGAGUUUCACUUAAACCCUGUUGGCGGGGAGUUAAUAUUGUUCUAUACGUCUUCAUUUAUACAAUGGCUUUAGAGCAAGAAAUCCAAGGAUGGCAUAAGAGGAAGGCUUCACUGUAGCAGUGAAGUACUUAGAAAUUUUAGACGAAAUAUGCAGCAGAUGAAACUGAGUCAUUAAAACCACUUGUAUACCUGUGACUUGAAGUGAUGUAUGAGAUGGAGAUAUAUUUAGAAGGCAAGGUCCUCAAGAGGUAAGAGAGCUUGCAGUUUUGAGCACUUAGUAGAUGCUGUGUGCUGGUUUUUAUUUUUCCUCAUUUAAUCCUCACACUGUCCUAUAAAGUUGACAUAAUUAUUCCUGUUUACAAGUAAGGAAACUGACCCUCAAAGAGGAGUGUAAUAAUUGCCCAAGUUCACACAGGAAGUGGUAAGGCUGAGAUUCAAAUCCAGAUCUAGCUGAUUCCAAAGCCAGCCCUUUCCGUCAAUACUAUGACUGUCACCUGCUUAGAACUCCUGACUGCUGCCUGGAGCUUUUACUUGGGAUCUUCUAGAAUAACCAAAGAAACAACACACAGAAGAGGAUGAGACUAAUGAAGUAUAGUCUCAAACAGUAGGAAAAAACCCCAAGGGCUUUGGCACUGGAUGAGAUUAACUCUUAUAAAGCCCCAGGAGAUCCAGACAUUCAGUGAAUUAAGGAGCCCUCCUCUGAAAUUAAAUGAACCUGCCUGUCCAAAACUGCUUCCGAGUGUCAGCCAUGGCGUACAUGGGGUCCAGACUCUAUCAUCACCCUGAAAGGGCACCUUGAGCCUUGACUGAAGUAGAGCAGGGAGGAUUCUUCCACAUUUUCAAGAGUAUGAGGUUUGACCACACCCAAGUUUACCCUACCAGUCGGUUCAGCAUAGCGUGUAGCUGUGUAUGGGACAGAAAGGGACACCUAUUAGAUGGAACCUUCUGCCCCAACACUUUUGUACUACAAAAUAACUGUAAUUGUGGCUCAAAUUUAUGCUUAAGUAACUUCAGUGAAACAAUAACACACACAUAACUCUCAGAAAGCAAUCUUACUCAAAAGGCUUGGGCACUGAUACAUUGUGAAGAAAUUACACAAUAUGAAUUUUUUUUAAAAAGGUAAUCACUAGAAAGUUUACAGAUGAUAGAUUCAUGUUAGCAAAAGAGUGUUAAGUAUCUGUUGAAUUACAACUAGACACUUAUGGAAAGUGUCUAAUUUCACUUUCUCUGCACUAUCUUUCUGUAUUACCAGUACCCAAUAAAUUAAAUGCUUUUGACAUUCAAUCAAUAUUACAUGGUAAUAAUCACAUCUUUUCAUUAAAAAGGAUAAAUUCCUUAAAAUUUUAUGUUUUAAGAAAAGGUCUUUGUUUACCAAAAGGGAUAGCAAAAUGAUUUAAGUGAGUUUAAUUUGAAUUAUUAAUUUUUUGUUCCUCGGCCAGCAGUUCUUCAGCAAAGGUCUAGAUUAUGGUGAUUGUUCUUGGUUGUGGUUUUUUAACAGUAAUGACAAGGCCCUUGAUAUCCUCUGGCCUUGACUUAGACACAAUUGCAGGCCUCCUUUUCACCUUUAGUUUUAGUAUUAAGGAAAAUCUAUCUCACUGUCAGGAAUAAAAGCCAGACUAUGUCUUUGAAUUUGAGUCCUUGUCUACUUGACUCCACAGCAAGCCAUAGUUUUAAGCAGCUUUUUUGGGAGAUAGGACCACGUGAAGCAUCUGCCAUGCCCAUUUGCUUAUUUAAGUACUUGUUUUUGUAUUUUGAAAGCAUAACUUCAGUUUAAAAAAUCCACAUAAAAAUGGGGUAAAACUUGGAACAAAAUUAUGGACUACCAGAGGUUUUCACUUACAACUGGCUACAGAAGCAGAGUGCAAUGCAAUCACAAAGAAUUAUUCCUUUAAAAUUGUGAGGUAUCACAUCUGCAUUUUUGAGUGAAUAGCUGACUAUGAUAAAGAGACCAGUUUUACCUUUGUAAAGCUGUAUGUCUCUUCCACGAAGUAGUUCUUUCAUCUAACAUGCGGAUUGCAAUAACUUACAG
RNAcentral lists this long non-coding RNA (5907 nucleotides) under Homo sapiens (human). RNAcentral's name for it is "HSALNT0043652". The record is from RNAcentral. Lineage: Eukaryota; Metazoa; Chordata; Mammalia; Primates; Hominidae.